GUGUGCGUGUGCAAUGCUUGUGUAAGCCUGUGUAAUGCAUAUGUGCAUGUGUAAGGUGCACGCAUGCAUGUGUAAUAUGUGUGUGCGUGUGAUGUGUGUGCACGUGGGUGUAAAUUGUGUGCAUGCGUGUGCGCCUAUUGCUUGUAUUAUUAGCUGGAACUUUUCCAUUGCAAGGGACAAGCCACACUUGCUUAAUCAGAAAGAGAAAUUAUGGGGUCACAAUUGAAUGUCCAGGAAAAAACCUACUUUAAGCGAUGGGCAGAACCUAGACCCAGAAAUGUCUUUCACGGCUUAGCCCGGAUUAGACCAAUUUGGGUCACUAUCCCAUCUUUGAGCCAAUCACGUAGCUCAACAGAGUGGACAGGCUUAGGUCACAUGACCACACCCCGCCCAGGGGAGGCCAGUCCUGCCUGCACCACAGGGGCACAGGUUAACCCAAGAAAGAAGGUGCUGUCCUCAGAAUAGAUGCUAAGCAGGGCCACGGGGCAGCCUGUCCUCCAGAAUGCCCGGACACUCACUCUGCGCGUUUUAUUUACUGGAUGUUUACCCAAUACAUCCCAUAAGACUCCCAAGAACUGGUAAAACGAAGACGCUAAGUUUGGCAUACGCAUUUCAAGUACUUUUUAAGUUUGUUUGCUGUCAACAGCAAUUACCCUCUUUUACGCAAGGAAGUUUUAAGUCUUUAUGUGGUCAGAUACUUAACAGUCUUCUGUUAUGGCCUGUGGCUUUACUGUUAGGCUUAGGAAAACAUUCUCUGCCCUAAGAGUUUCCGUUUGCCAACAUUUUUAAUUAAUGCUUUUUCUUUUAUUUCUCCAUGACAAUAUUUUAACCAUCUGGAAUUGAUGCUGGUUCGGAGUGUGAAAACUGUUUUUCCCACAUGUAAUAGUUGGUUAUUCCGACAGAAUUCAUUGAAUACUCCGUGCUUUUCUCCAUGGGUUGGAAAUGCCUUUAUUACCAUUUGCUGAAUUAUUUUAUGCGUGUGUUUUGAUGGUCUUCCCCGCGUGUUCCUCUCUGCACUGACCUUUUCUGUGAGCCCUAAUCUAAAAACCAAAUAAAUACACUUGGAGGUACCGAUUACCUAUUUUAUGACUGCAAUAGGGAUUAAGACACUCGUGAGGAGUUGUAGAGUGGUGGUUAUGACAGGGUGGUUAGGUGUGGCCCCACACCUGGCACGUCUUCAAAAGGGAGGAAGGGGAAGUUCCUGAUCUUUCACUUUCCCCCUCUCUCCUACCUUCCCUCUCUGCCGGUGAAUGCCUGGCUGUUGCAGAUGGCCCGGGGUUUUUUAAAGCACAUGAGAACAUAACCCCAAGAAGCAGAGGUCGUUACGCACAAGGGUCAGGUAAAACGAGUGCUUAAAAAAAGGCAAAGCCAACAAACCCGACUUCCUGGCCACGCACUCUCCCCUCCCCGGUAAAAAGAAAACACACGUCAUUCCGAGAGCUGAAUUAAUUCACGCAGCGCAAGCAGAUUCUCUGCAGCCAGACCGAACCGUUACAACAGGGACUCCCUGAAAUAAACAGAACUCAUGACAAGUCUGUCCCAGAGGAGAGUCCAAAGAUUGACAGGAUGGCCUGACUGUAACGUUGCUAACGCCUCCCACCACGGUCUGGUGCACAGAGACCAGCAGGGCCUGCCGUGGUCCCCAGGAUGGAACCGGGGAGCAGAAAAGCAGAAGCAUGGGCCGCAAGCGCUGACACCGAGCCGUCGCACCUUGCGGACUACGGUUGACUGGUGACGACGGACGGCACAGAACAUCCGUGACGGCUAGCUGUGAACCGGCGUUUUGAGGAAGCCGAAACUGUGAGUAAACAGGUACGACUGUCUGGAAGCAAGGGGUGAGCCACGCAGAGAUGAAAUGAGCCGCAGAAAUAUUAUGAAAAGGUCAGAGGUUCGGCCGCCCCUGAAAUGUGCUCAGUCUCUGAUGGCUUCUGAAUUCACUCCAUCAGAUCGCACCUCCUCCCAGGGGACAGGGCAGUGCUGGAGCAGGGAAGGGUCCCGUGUCUGACAGCCAGUGGUGCACCCCAGUCCGCACCCCCAGCGCCCUUGCAGUUAAGGCUCGCUUUCCCACAGGGCCCUUGAGGCGAAGAGGCUGUGACAAAGCUGUACUCUGUAAAAUGACAGACGCCAUACUUAUACCCCAGACGCCAGCUGUGCGACUCAGGUCAUUUACUCAUUUAUUUUCGGUUCAAAGGAGAGACUCACACAGUCACUUCCAGGAACAGGCAUGUAUUAUGAGUCUACUCCACACAGUGAAUCAUGACGGGUGAGUCUUGGCUACAAGUAACAGAACACCCAGCACGUGGCCUAAACAGUGUACGAUUUGUGAUCUUUCACUACCUAACUUCUCCCUGAUUCUCUACCGUGCUGUCCACAUCCCCAGCUGGCUCGUCUCGGGAGUGUGAGACAGCUGCCAGCAGCAAUGAGGGCCUCAGGCUUCCUAAUCCAUAUCCCCCUUGGAAGAGUGUCUCUCUUGCAGGCCUGGUACAAGAGUCCUUUCUUUCAGCCUGACUGGGCCAAUUUACGUCAUUUGUCCUCUGCUGGGCCGUGGGGGAACGUCGCGUCUCAACGGGGUAGAGUCUGGGUUUCAGAAGAGGCAUGACAGACUAGCAUUGGUUUUGACUAGUCGGAUCCAGAAACAAAGAUGAAGUUAGCUUCUCCUGAGCGACACGGUUAGCUGGUGGGGAGCGGGCUGGGGGAGGACAAAUGGAGAACAGACAGCCAAGCGGAACCAGGAUUCUGUUUGCAGGACAGGCGGGUGGGCGUGUUGGACAGGCAGUAACCGGUCGUGCCCGCUGCACAUCCGUAUAGGGCGGCACUGACCGACAGAACUUUCUGCAGUGGUGGGGUAAUCCACACCAUUCUGCUCACCACGGAAGCAUCAAACACACGAGGCCGUUGGGCGCUUGAAGUGUGGCGGCUGUGAUCGGAGAAGCUGCCAGAACCUCCUAAGGUUUAGGCCCAGACCCGGCCCAGGGACGCUCCGCCGUUCUCUUCACCGAAGCAACUCAUGGGGCCGGGGCUGCGCGUGAAAAAUCACUGCAAACAAACCGGAACACUUCUUCCAGUUGGACUGUUUUGCAACCUCAAGAUGUCAGACUGCAGUGCAGACCAGACCUCCCCAGGACCAGGAAGUGCCACACUUCCUCAGUGUACAUCCUGAACUCCAACUCCUGCCCCCACUUUGUUCACUUAGCUUUACACUUCUCAGUGGAGAUCAUCCAGUUGGGUUAGUCUGCUGUCAUCCAAAAUGGCACAUCUGUAUCGGGCGGAGUUUCACAAGAACUCAUCUCAUGAACCGCGUCGAAUGGCUUAAUUUUUAUCCCAUGUUUACCCUGCACUUUGCCCGAGAGUGGCGAUUGUAUCAGUCUCUUGAACAAAUACUUGAAGGUUCUGUCUCACGUACCAGCCAGAGGACGGAAGAAGCACUGCACUGUACUAGGAAUUAGGUAAAAGCCUCGUAUGUAAGACUGAGCUCCACCGGGGCGUCUGGAGGGCUCAGCUGGUUGGGCACCCGACUCUUGAUUUCAGCUCAGGUCAUGAUCUCAUGGUUCGUGGGCUCAAGCCCCGUG
Long non-coding RNA from Lynx canadensis (Canada lynx), 3569 nucleotides. RefSeq lists it as uncharacterized. The transcript is spliced from 3 exons. Lineage: Eukaryota; Metazoa; Chordata; Mammalia; Carnivora; Felidae. The record is from RefSeq and is a predicted model, not a curated record.